GGUGGGUGGGUGGCAUAAGUGUUUUGUAGCCAUCAUCAGAUGCACAAAACACCUGGCAGAUGCAAUAUGUUCCUGGUAUGGGAAAUGCAGGUGGGGGAAAGUUCUGUGCCGUCAGGUUAGAGCAGGGAACUGUUAAAUCUCAAUUCAUCGGUCUGUAUCGGCUGUGCUUCUUCCAUUGCUUAUAAUGACAUAUGCUGGGAGGUCUCCCUGGUGCCCUCGCUUCACAAUCCGUGUGUGGUUACCAGGGAGAAACUGACCCAGGGGGGUUCCUGCACAGGUACACAGGUGUAACUCUGGAAAGCCGCUGUGUCUGUGAGAAGAAGGAAAUAUGUGGCUCUGCAACGGCCUACCAUAGGGACCCCCCCUGGCUACUGUUUUCCCCAGCUGACCUUGAUCUGUGGGUGGGUGAACACACAACACCCGCCCCAGCAGAUCUGCCUUUGCAAUUUGACGCUUCCCUAAAUCCGCUUGUUCCUUCUGUUUGUAAAAGGCGCUUUCCCCCUCCGCUUUCCGAGAUAAAAGUCAGCUUAUAGCUUCUCAUUCAUAUGCUGGAGGGGAUUCAUCCAGCAGGCAAAGCUAGGCACCAGGCACAAGUAAUUAUGACGGACUACUCAACUGGAGAGAUCCAAUUAUUGGUGAUUUAGAAUAUUUGUCUAAAUUAAAGCUAUAUUUACAGAGCCCCGGGGUAAAUCGUUUAACAGGAAACCAAAGGCAGGGAGCAUCACAUUCCUUUCCUUUCGUGCCUCCCCACCCCCUUUUGAAACAAGAACAAAAAAACUACAUCCACUCAUUUGUUUGCUCUCUUCGUUACGGUGCCCAUAGCGAUCGAGAAAUGCCAGUGGCAGCCAAAGGUUCCGUAUCCUUCAUUCACAGAAAAUAAUUGCAUUUUCCGGUUGCUGUGCCACUGUAACAACAAAGCAGCCAGGUUUUGAUUAUACUGUAGUGGGAUUAUAGCAAAUGCUGACUUCAGUAGGAGUUUUAUGUUGACUUAAGUUGGAACAGUUUUACAAGGGUAUUUGUUGAGCUGUUUAUUGUAGGUUUGUGAACCCCUUUUACCUACCCCCAUCCCAAGUUUCCAAUGUUAGCAGAGUGCUGAGUGCAUAGAACUGUGAAUUGGGAGGUGCUUUUUACCAGAACUGGGUAACCUUUGGACCUCAGGGGUUAUACAUUUCCCAUCACUGGGCAGGCUGACCGGGGCUGAAGGGAGUUGGAGGCCAGCAACAAACAGCUGGAGGGUCACAGGGUCCAUAUCCCUGCUUUAUUAUUACUAUUAUUUAUUUAUUUAUCUAUUUAUUAAAUUCACAUACUGCCCUGAGAAUUAUACUGAGCAAGCUGCAAGCAGGUUUUCCAUGGUUUUCAAAGGGAGUUCCAGAGAACUGUUCAGUUCCUCAGAUACUGGUGAGAACAUAAAUAGUGGUGUAAUAGCUUUCCUGAAAGCCCAUGGAGGUUCAGGCACAAUGAGAAGUCCUGGUUUCUUGCUGUAUAAAGGAGCCUUGGGCUUGUUCACACUCCCUAUACCAUGCACUAAAGGAGCAUCCACGUGUGGUUUCAAAAACAAGCAUGGCUCAAUGCUACUUCUGAGCUCGGAACAGUAGCUUGCCAAACCCUCCUUAGUGAGCAAACCUGGAUCUGAAACCACAUCUUGAUUCCGCUUUGUUCUCUGCAACUAGAAUUGUCAUGGCUGCAGUCCCUGCGCUGCUGUAUGUGUUGCAGUUCCAUGGUAAUUGAUGGGAUCUGAGUGCACUUGCUGGGCACUGGUCUGCAUCCAGCAUAGCCAUUAGUAGCCGCUUCUCAGAGUGCUGAUUGCUUUUUAAUGACGUAACCAAAUGUUUCUCUGGCAUUCUGUCACUUAAAAAUACCUUUUCAUGUUUGUGUGUGUGUUUUGAAGUUUAAGGGCAGUGAGAAGCAGUGAUAACACAAUCAGGUAUACAGAGUGUGGUUCAUGGUGCCUAGCGAUACUCUCUAUUUCUUUAACCCCCUUAGAGUCAAAUUAAAAUUUCUUGGUUUUGGCUGGACCGAAGUGGUUGUGUGCCUUAAGCGGGGAUGGUAUAAAUUAGAGUGUGCUGCAUCAGCAAAAUACUUUUUUUGGUUGUGAACUUUAGAGACAUCAUCUGUCGUCGUCCCCCGCCCUUUUGCAAAUUACCAAGGAAAUUAAAAUGUUUCAACUAUCUUUCUGUCAAAGCAAAAAGUAAUUAAAUUAACCUAACAUUGUCUUUCCUUUGUGAGACGGGUUGCACAAGACCCAUCAAUGGUACUUGAACCAUCCCUUCCUCUUACUAGUGAAUGUAGGAGCCAAAUGGCGAACUAUGGCCCCUUACAAACAAGGAGGACGUGUCAGCUUGGUUGGAGGACCUUCGAGGAUUGCAGAGACAUGUGCAGAAAGGCAGGUGCUAAGAGACAACGCAGCUGGUUUUCCUUCUAACCCCAGGUUGCUUCGAGUUCACCAUUCUGGAAAAAGUGAAAUAGGGGCAAUGACAUGGGUGGCGCUGUGGGUUAAACCACAGAGCCUAGGGCUUGCCGAUCAGAAGGUCAGCAGUUCGAAUCCCCGCAACGGGGUGAGCUCCCGUUGCUCAGUCCCAGCUCCUGCCAACCUAGCAGUUCGAAAGCAUGUCAAAGUGCAAGUAGAUAAAUAGGUACCGCUCCAGCAGGAAGGUAAACGGCAUUUCCGUGCGCAGCCCUGGUUUCGCCAGAAGCGGCUUUGUCAUGCUGGCCACAUGACCCGGAAGCUGUAUGCCGGCUCCCUCGGCCAAUAAAGCGAGAUGAGCGCCGCAACCCCAGAGUCGUCCGCGACUGGACCUAAUGGUCAGGGGUCCCUUUACCUUUACCUUUUACAACAUCAACCCUCUGCCCCGUCAGAGUGUGUGGGCUCCGUUUGCUAAGAAGGGCUUGAUUCUGCUCAAUGACAUUCUCUCGAUGUCAUCCUGACGUUCAUGGUUCCUGCAUUAAAUACCUUUGAAGAUCUGUAUGAAGC
Zootoca vivipara (common lizard) is the source of this 2971-nucleotide non-coding RNA. Lineage: Eukaryota; Metazoa; Chordata; Lepidosauria; Squamata; Lacertidae. The record is from RefSeq and is a predicted model, not a curated record.